UGUAAGCGUAUACCAAAGUUGUUGCAGUUAAAACGCUCGUAGUCGGAAUUUGGCAGUUCCAGAAGUGUGCACGUCGUGUGCGCACUUUGCGGGGACUGCUUUUGUGGUCUUGCGUAGGAUGAGGCACUUUCAUUAGUGAACGUCCUCACGCAACCACUCUUUACUGUGAGAAAAUCAGAGUGCUCAAAGCAGGCAUUUGCCGUGAAUGUAUUAGCAUGGAAUAAUAGAAUAGGACUCGGUUCUAUUUUGUUGGUUUGUUGGGACUGAGUAAUGAUUAAGAGGGACAGUUGGGGGCAUUUGUAUUCCGGCGCUAGAGGUGAAAUUCUUAGAUUGCCGGAAGACAAACUGCUGCGAAAGCGUCUGCCAAGGAUGUUUUCAUUGA
Molecule: ribosomal RNA, 382 nt
Filed under: uncultured eukaryote
Lineage: Eukaryota
Description: partial 18S ribosomal RNA
Rfam family: Eukaryotic small subunit ribosomal RNA
Source: RNAcentral